RNAcentral lists this ribosomal RNA (297 nucleotides) under Morganella morganii subsp. morganii. RNAcentral describes it as "partial 23S ribosomal RNA". It matches the Rfam family "Bacterial large subunit ribosomal RNA", at positions 1 to 297 of the family's 2925-position model. Lineage: Bacteria; Pseudomonadati; Pseudomonadota; Gammaproteobacteria; Enterobacterales; Morganellaceae. The record is from RNAcentral.
GUUAAGCGAAUAAGCGUACACGGUGGAUGCCUAGGCAGUCAGAGGCGAUGAAGGACGUGCUAAUCUGCGAUAAGCGCCGGUAAGGUGAUAUGAACCGUUAUAACCGGCGAUUUCCGAAUGGGGAAACCCAGUGUGAUCCGUCACACUAUCAUUACCUGAAUACAUAGGGUAAUGAAGCGAACCGGGAGAACUGAAACAUCUAAGUACCCCGAGGAAAAGAAAUCAAACGAGAUUCCCCCAGUAGCGGCGAGCGAACGGGGAGCAGCCCAGGACCUUAAUCAGCAUCAGUGUUAAGAG